This 1343-nucleotide ribosomal RNA is filed under the name metagenome. RNAcentral's name for it is "bacterial LSU rRNA". It matches the Rfam family "Bacterial large subunit ribosomal RNA", at positions 1564 to 2925 of the family's 2925-position model. The record is from RNAcentral.
UGAAUACGAGACGCUAAGGCGUCGAAGUAGUGUAUAUCAUACUUCCAAGAAAAGCUUGCAAUGUCAUAGAUAAAAAACGCCUGUACCAUAACCGACACAGGUGGGUAGGUAGAGUAUACUAAGGGGCGCGAGAUAACUCUCUCUAAGGAACUCGGCAAAAUAACUCCGUAACUUCGGGAGAAGGAGUGCCUUAUUCGUAAGGUUGCAAUAACAAGAUCCAAGCAACUGUUUAUCAAAAACACAGGUCUCCGCUAAGUCGCAAGACGAUGUAUGGGGGCUGACGCCUGCCCAGUGCCAGAAGGUUAAAGAAGUUGGUUAGCAAUUGCGAAGCUGAUAACUGAAGCCCUGGUGAACGGCGGCCGUAACUAUAACGGUCCUAAGGUAGCGAAAUUCCUUGUCGGGUAAGUUCCGACCCCACGAAAGGCGUAAUGAUUUGGAUACUGUCUCGGAGAGGGGCUCGGUGAAAUAGACUUGUCUGUGAAGAUGCGGACUACCUGCACCAGGACAGAAAGACCCUAUGAAGCUUUACUGUAACUUGAAGUUGAAAUUGAACUUUAUUCGCGCAGUAUAGGUGGGAGGCGUUGAUUAUAAUCUUGCGGGAUUAUUGGAGCCAUCAGUGAGAUACCACUCUUGUAAUGUUAGAUUUCUAACUUUGAAUCAUUAUCUGGUCAAAGAACAGUUUCAGGCGGGCAGUUUGACUGGGGCGGUCGCCUCCUAAACAGUAACGGAGGCGUACAAAGGUUUCCUCUGAACGGUUAGAAAUCGUAUCUAGAGUGUAAAGGCAUAAGGAAGCUUGACUGUGAGACCUACAAGUCGAGCAGGGACGAAAGUCGGUCUUAGUGAUCUGACGGUACUGAGUGGAAAGGCCGUCACUCAACGGAUAAAAGUUACUCUAGGAUAACAGGCUGAUCUCCCCCAAGAGUUCACAUCGACGGGGAGGUUUGGCACCUGAUGUCGGCUCAUCGCAUCCUGGGGCGGUAGUACGUCCCAAGGGUUGGGCUGUUCGCCCAUGAAAGCGGUACGCGAGCUGGGUUCAGAACGUCGUGAGACAGUUCGGUCCAUAUCCGGUGUAGGCGUUAGAAUAUUGAGAGGAGCCUUCUUUAGUACGAGAGGACCGAGAAGGACAUACCUCUGGUGUACCAGUUAUCGUGCCAACGGUAAACGCUGGGUAGCUAUGUAUGGAGUGGAUAACCGCUGAAAGCAUCUAAGUGGGAAGCCCACCUCAAGAUAAGUAUUCUCAUCACGAAAGUGAGUAAGGUCACGGUAAGACUAACCGUUAGAUAGGCAUUAAGUGUAAGUACAGUAAUGUAUGUGCUGAGAUGUCCUAAUAGACCGAGGACUUG